RNAcentral lists this non-coding RNA (101 nucleotides) under Berkelbacteria bacterium GW2011_GWA1_39_10. Lineage: Bacteria; Candidatus Berkelbacteria. The record is from RNAcentral.
AUAUCGAUUUGAUAAGUUAAAGAAAUAUAUCGAUAUCACACGCCGACUCCCGACGCUACGUCGGGAUGAAGAUAUAGUCUAAGCCUUUUAGAAAUAAAAGA